Molecule: long non-coding RNA, 510 nt
Filed under: Falco tinnunculus (common kestrel)
Lineage: Eukaryota; Metazoa; Chordata; Aves; Falconiformes; Falconidae
Description: lncRNA (ENSFTIG00000012450.1)
Source: RNAcentral
GCCGAGGCUGCAGAAAGCAGCACGCUCACUUUUCCCUUGAACGCCUUUCCAGCCCCACAGUGAGCUCUUUUCCUUAGCUGUUACUUCUGGACACUACCACAACAGCUUUCCCAACGGAAGGGGUGAGCUGCUGCUGCCAGGCGUGUGCACUGUACCAGUAGGGAGGCUGUGGAGCAUCCCGGACCUGCAGCUCCUCGGCCAGGCACCUGUGCCAGCUCGCCCCUGCCGCAGCAGGGAUCCUGUUAUCCCCCCUGGGACUCUGCCUGGACCAGGGAUCCUGACAUCUGCAUGUGGCUCUGCAGCCACGGGAGACUGUUUCCCCCUCUUUCGGCACGCAGGCAGUGAUUGCUGCCUAACCCUGUGGCUCAGGGCUUUGAGAAGAUGAUCACAUACAGCCGUAAGUGCAUCACACCAGGAGGUGUCUGUGACUGGGGGCAGCUGGUUGGGGGUGCCCUGUCACCCUGGGGUCCUACCCUCUCUGCGGAUGCUCUCACACUGCACAGGGCCAUA